AUGUAAUUUCAGAAGGUGGUCCACCAUU
Molecule: small RNA, 28 nt
Filed under: Bombyx mori (domestic silkworm)
Lineage: Eukaryota; Metazoa; Arthropoda; Insecta; Lepidoptera; Bombycidae
Description: ovarian small RNA-12644
Source: RNAcentral